Molecule: ribosomal RNA, 253 nt
Filed under: uncultured bacterium
Lineage: Bacteria
Description: partial 16S ribosomal RNA
Rfam family: Bacterial small subunit ribosomal RNA
Source: RNAcentral
UACAGAGGUCUCAAGCGUUGUUCGGAUUCAUUGGGCGUAAAGGGUGCGUAGGCGGCGCGGUGAGUCGGAUGUGAAAUCUCGGAGCUUAACUCCGAAACUGCAUUCGAUACUGCCGUGCUUGAGGACUGGAGAGGAGACUGGAAUUUACGGUGUAGCGGUGAAAUGCGUAGAUAUCGGAAGGAAGACCAGUGGCGAAGGCGGGUCUCUGGACAGUGCCGGACGCUGAGGCACGAAGGCCAGGGGAGCAAACGGG